CAUGAAGAAAAUACACUGAAAUGUUAGCAAUCAGUAGAUCCAGGUGAUGGAUGUACAGUGAGUCUUUCUGCUUUUAGGUAUGUCUGAAAAUUUCCAUAUUAAAAUGUAAAUUUAUAUACAUAUAGAUAGGUGUGUAUAAAGAAAGAAUUCCAUCUUAAAGCCCCUUUCCCUCCUCUUCCUCCUGCCUCUCCUGCUCCUCUUCCUUGUUCGUGUUGAUGUUCCUAAUUGUUCCUUUCAUUUGUCUCACAAAGGUAUCCCUUUAGGGCCAGCUGUAUUUCUGAAAGAUGUACCUAGCACAGCAUGUUUUUAUAAUCUCCUCUUAAAAGUUGGAUUAAGCCUUCAAAGCCCAGCUCUGUGCGUCCUAGACUCCAGUGUGAGCCACCCAGGGGGACCUCCUCUCAGCAGGUCCACGCUGCUGUGAGGACUUCUAGGCUUCUCUUCUCCCUACUGCCUGGUAUCCUAGAACACCCAUCUAUAUAUACAUCUGACUCUCCUAGUCCCCAGGUGGCAGACACAAGUUGCCUCCAGCAAACCAGGUUAAAGAGGGCUUCUCAGAAGAUGGUCCUAGGAAGUCAUGCUACUACAUGAAUGAAAGUAAAAUUGGAUCCCCACCUACCACUACGUCCCAGAGACCAUCACCAAAAGAGAGAGAGAGCAAGUUGGAAUGUAGCCUCCUUAUAAGAACUGAUUUGUUCUUACAAGAGAAAGUGUGUGAGAUGAGGAAGUAUCAGUUGAAGAAAAUAAGAAUGAAGGAGCGUGGUGUCUGCAAGUUUGGUUCAUAGAAAACAAUAGUGCUACCCAGAUGGAACUGAGCAGCCUCUUUCUUCAUGUCCUUCCUGUGCACCUCGACACAUUUCUGCUGUAGCAUCUGCACGUGCUCCUUCACCUGGCUGCUGCCUCCAGCAGGACUGCAAGCCCCCAGAAUGGUGCCCUUUUAUCCUUGGUUUGUCACUUUGUGCCUGGAACACCUCACAAAGGGUGUUAAUGAUUUAUGUUCAUUUAUUCUUUUUGUAAUCGGAAUGAAAGUCUCAUAAUAUUAACCAUUCUAAAGUGAACAAUUUACUUCUAGGACAUUCACAAUGUUGCGCAACCACCAUCUCGAUCUAGUUCCCAGACUUUUUUUCCCACCAAAAUAUAACCCAUACUCAUUAAGCAGUUACUCCCCAUUCUUACCUCCCUAUACCCCUGGCAAUCAUCUGUGUUCUUUCUAUGUGUUUGCCUAUUCUGGGUAUUUCAUCUAAUAGAAUCAUACAGUAUGUGAUCGUUUUGUCUGGUUUAUUUCACUUAGCAUAUUGUUUUCCAGGUUUAUCCACAUUAUAGCAUGCAUCUGUACUUCAUUCCUUUUUUUUUUUCGUCUCACCUUGUGGCUGGCAGGAUCUUAGUUUCCUGACAAGAGAUCAAAUUUGUGCUCCCUGCAUUGGGAGUGCGGAGUCUUAGCCCUGGACUGCCAGGGAAAUCCCCAUUCCUUUUUUUUUUUUUUAAUGUUCCUUCUUCUAUUCAUAUUUUUCUCUCCCACCUCCCUGUGCCUCCUCUGUGCUUAUCCAACGUAAUUCAUCACUCAAGAACUAAAUCAAGUCGUACGUUUUUCAUAAAGAUUUCUACAUCCUUCAUCUUCCCUGAACCCCUUUAGCUCUAUCUACAUUACUUAAUGUAAAUGCCACACACAAGUGAUGUGUAGGAUUGGUUUUUAAAUAAUCCAGCAGGUAUCAGGGUGAAGAGAGGGAUGAAUGAGACCAGGUUGGCCAUAUAUUGAUGAUCACUGGAGCAAGGGAUGGGUACAUGGAGGCUGAUAAUGUCUUUCUCUCUAUAUUGUGUAUGUUUGAAAGUUUCCAGAAUAAAAAUUUUAAA
Bos taurus (domestic cattle) is the source of this 1848-nucleotide long non-coding RNA. The record is from Ensembl. Lineage: Eukaryota; Metazoa; Chordata; Mammalia; Artiodactyla; Bovidae.